AAGCAGCAGGUGAAUUCCCUUUCUGUGGUGACAUGAAAGGUGAUAAAAUCCCCAGAAGCUGGUGUGCGGGAGCUGCAGCUGCCCAGGCUGAAGUUAAGUCCUCUAUGAUGAUUUACAAUAAAAGCUGGGAAGAUGUUUCUGCUGGGCCUGAUAUUAGAUGACAGCACGUCCUUUAGAAGCUGCAGGUGUGGAUGCUG
Long non-coding RNA from Columba livia (rock pigeon), 197 nucleotides. RefSeq lists it as uncharacterized. Lineage: Eukaryota; Metazoa; Chordata; Aves; Columbiformes; Columbidae. The transcript is spliced from 2 exons. The record is from RefSeq and is a predicted model, not a curated record.